This 229-nucleotide long non-coding RNA is filed under the name Elaeis guineensis (African oil palm). RNAcentral describes it as "long non-coding RNA (EGUI_LNC048853)". Lineage: Eukaryota; Viridiplantae; Streptophyta; Magnoliopsida; Arecales; Arecaceae. The record is from RNAcentral.
UUCUCCGGCGCAAGCGGAUUUUUGCACCAACAGGUCUGAUCAAAGAGUUUCAAUGCUCUUCUUAGAUUGUUUCUCUAUCUUAUUAUGAAAUCAUUUGAAUAUUUUAAAUAAUCUAAAUUUAUAGCAAAUAUAUUUGUAAAUCCAAUACAUCAGCAUGUAUUAGAUUCAAAAUAUCAUUGGCUCAUUCAUCUUUUCUAGUAAAAGAUAAUUUGAUCAUCUUACUAAAGAG